GUUGGAACAGGAGUCCCAAAACCUGGAAAAAGUUAUGCUGCUGGAGGAGCUGGAGUUUUACCAGGCAUACGUUACCCCAAUGGAGCUGGAGU
Molecule: long non-coding RNA, 92 nt
Organism: Nematolebias whitei (Rio pearlfish)
Lineage: Eukaryota; Metazoa; Chordata; Actinopteri; Cyprinodontiformes; Rivulidae
Exons: 3
Source: RefSeq, a predicted model, not a curated record